RNAcentral lists this long non-coding RNA (611 nucleotides) under Cyanistes caeruleus (blue tit). RNAcentral's name for it is "lncRNA (ENSCCEG00000005118.1)". Lineage: Eukaryota; Metazoa; Chordata; Aves; Passeriformes; Paridae. The record is from RNAcentral.
UCAGAUAAUCAAAGCCAUUAAGCCCUGAAGCUGCUGCGACUUUGGGUUCGGGGAUGGGAAACUCUCCUUCCUCUCCACCGUGCCGGGACCCCCGGGAAGGGGAGGGGAGGGAUCCCCCCUGGGGACAGCCAGGAGCAGCCCCCGGCCCCAGUGCCCACAUCCCCCAGGAUUUGGGGUGCUGCAGGCCAGGGGGGCUCUGGGGCGCAUCCCGCUGAUGCUGUGCGUGUCCCCCCGCAGAUGAGCUGGAGCUGGAGGUGCGGGACGGGCAGAGACGGGUGCGGACCCGCAGGAGCCCGCAGGAGCCUCCCCGAGGGCUUCUCCUGGGGCCCCUUCCAGGGCAGCAUCCACAGCGAGCCGGCAUCGCCGGGGCACGGCGACACGUGGGAGCUGGGAGCACUGGGUGGCUUUAAUAUUCCGUGGCGUGGAGCACCGUGUGUCCCCAUCGCCUGCUGGUGGAGAAGGAGAAAGGAGGGAAACGAGGAGGAGGAGAAAAGGGAGGAGGAAGAUUCCUACCCGCCCCUACCUGAUCCUACAGGGUUCUCCCCAAAAGAUCCUCGCUCGGAAAGGUGUGGAAACCCUCUGGCAGACAGCCCAGGGGUGCUGAGGGAUGG